GAAAUGCGAUAAGUAAUGUGAAUUGCAGAAUUCAGUGAAUCAUCGAAUCUUUGAACGCACAUUGCGCCCGCCAGUAUUCUGGCGGGCAUGCCUGUUCGAGCGUCAUUUCAACCAUCAAGCCCCAGGCUUGUGUUGGGGACCUGCGGCUGCCGCAGGCCCUGAAAACCAGUGGCGGGCUCGCUGUCACACCGGGCGUAGUAGAUUUUAUCUCGCUCAGGGCGUGCUGCGGGUUCCGGCCGUUAAAAAGCCUUUUUUACCCAAGGUUGACCUCGGAUCAGGUAGGAAGACCCGCUGAACUUAA
RNAcentral lists this unclassified non-coding RNA (301 nucleotides) under uncultured Sordariomycetes. RNAcentral describes it as "sequence contains ITS1". The stretch from base 1 to 105 matches the Rfam family "5.8S ribosomal RNA", at positions 50 to 154 of the family's 154-position model. The record is from RNAcentral. Lineage: Eukaryota; Fungi; Ascomycota; Sordariomycetes.